AUGACCUGGCGGCAGCUUACCAUGCAAGUCGAACGGUUGAAGGGUGCUUGCACCUGGAUAUAGUGGCGAACGGGUGAGUAAAGCUUAGGAAUCUGGCUAUUAAUGGGGGACAACAAUUCGAAAGGAUUGCUAAUACCGCAUACGCCCUACGGGGGAAAGCAGGGGACUUUUAGGAGCCUUGCGUUAAUAGAUGAGCCUAAGUUGGAUUAGCUAGUUGGUGGGGUAAAGGCCUACCAAGGCGACGAUCCAUAGCGGGUCUGAGAGGAUGAUCCGCCACACUGGGACUGAGACACGGCCCAGACUCCUACGGGAGGCAGCAGUGGGGAAUAUUGGACAAUGGGGGGAACCCUGAUCCAGCCAUGCCGCGUGUGUGAAGAAGGUCGUAAGAUUGUAAAGCACUUUAAGUGGGGAGGAGAGUAUCAAUGAUAAUACCAUUGGAUACUGGACGCUACCCACAGAAUAAGCACCGGCUAACUCUGUGCCAGCAGCCGCGGUAAU
This 498-nucleotide ribosomal RNA is filed under the name uncultured bacterium. RNAcentral's name for it is "bacterial SSU rRNA". It matches the Rfam family "Bacterial small subunit ribosomal RNA", at positions 36 to 524 of the family's 1533-position model. The record is from RNAcentral.